RNAcentral lists this ribosomal RNA (256 nucleotides) under uncultured Gardnerella sp. Its description in RNAcentral is "partial 16S ribosomal RNA". It matches the Rfam family "Bacterial small subunit ribosomal RNA", at positions 99 to 354 of the family's 1533-position model. The record is from RNAcentral. Lineage: Bacteria; Bacillati; Actinomycetota; Actinomycetes; Bifidobacteriales; Bifidobacteriaceae.
CGAACGGGUGAGUAAUGCGUGACCAACCUGCCCCAUGCUCCAGAAUAGCUCUUGGAAACGGGUGGUAAUGCUGGAUGCUCCAACUUGACGCAUGUCUUGUUGGGAAAGUGUUUAGUGGCAUGGGAUGGGGUCGCGUCCUAUCAGCUUGUAGGCGGGGUAAUGGCCCACCUAGGCUUCUACGGGUAGCCGGCCUGAGAGGGCGGACGGCCACAUUGGGACUGAGAUACGGCCCAGACUCCUACGGGAGGCAGCAGGG